AGGGCUGUAGCUCAGUGGUAGAGCACUUGCCUAGCAUGCAUGAGGCCAUAGGUUCAGUUCUCAUCAUUACUG
This 72-nucleotide transfer RNA is filed under the name Cricetulus griseus (Chinese hamster). It matches the Rfam family "tRNA". From Rfam's summary of the family: Transfer RNA (tRNA) molecules are approximately 80 nucleotides in length. Their secondary structure includes four short double-helical elements and three loops (D, anti-codon, and T loops). Further hydrogen bonds mediate the characteristic L-shaped molecular structure. tRNAs have two regions of fundamental functional importance: the anti-codon, which is responsible for specific mRNA codon recognition, and the 3' end, to which the tRNAs corresponding amino acid is attached (by aminoacyl-tRNA synthetases). tRNAs cope with the degeneracy of the genetic code in two manners: having more than one tRNA (with a specific anti-codon) for a particular amino acid; and 'wobble' base-pairing, i.e. permitting non-standard base-pairing at the 3rd anti-codon position. The record is from Rfam by way of RNAcentral. Lineage: Eukaryota; Metazoa; Chordata; Mammalia; Rodentia; Cricetidae.